AGCAGCCGCGGUAAUUCCAGCUCCAAUAGCGUAUAUUAAAGUUGUUGCAGUUAAAAAGCUCGUAGUUGAAUUUCGGGAUCAAUACGUCGGUCGUGCUUAGGUACGUACUGGCGUAAUUGAUUUCUCCCUUCUGACGAACCAUGAUGUCAUUAACUUGGUGUCAUGGGAAAUCAGGACUGUUACUUUGAAAAAAUUAGAGUGUUUAAAGCAGGCUCACGCUUGAAUACAUUAGCAUGGAAUAAUGAAAUAGGACGUUCGAUCCUAUUUUGUUGGUUUUUAGGAUCAACGUAAUGAUUAAUAGGGAUAGUUGGGGGCAUUAGUAUUCAAUUGUCAGAGGUGAAAUUCUUGGAUUUAUUGAAGACUAACUACUGCGAAAGCAUUUGCCAAGGAUGUUUUCAUUAAUCAAGAACGAAAGUUAGGGGAUCGAAGACGAUCAGAUACCGUCGUAGUCUUAACCAUAAACUAUGCCGACUAGGGAUCGGAUGAUGUUAAUUUUUUAAUGACUCA
Molecule: ribosomal RNA, 507 nt
Filed under: Glomus sp. Glo50
Lineage: Eukaryota; Fungi; Glomeromycota; Glomeromycetes; Glomerales; Glomeraceae
Description: SSU rRNA
Rfam family: Eukaryotic small subunit ribosomal RNA
Source: RNAcentral